This is a long non-coding RNA of Lagopus leucura (white-tailed ptarmigan), 207 nucleotides long. RefSeq lists it as uncharacterized. The transcript is spliced from 4 exons. Lineage: Eukaryota; Metazoa; Chordata; Aves; Galliformes; Phasianidae. The record is from RefSeq and is a predicted model, not a curated record.
CAGCUCUCACUCAUCUAUCACGUACAGCCUGGACCAAAGGCUUGGAGAUUUGAUGUUUAAAUUAAAAAAAACCUCUUACGAUAGACUUUACUUCUCAAGAUUCCUUUCCUUCUGUCCUGGAUGGACAGUCCCAGUGUGUAAGAAGAGAAAAAACUGAGAUGAUGUUGGUUUUAAGAGGAAUGCACAGAGUUGAUGUUAGAGUCAAGG